UACAGAGGUCUCAAGCGUUUGUCCGGAGUUUACUGGGCGUAAAGGGUGCGUAGGUGGCGGGGCAAGUUUGGUGUGAAAUCCCGGGGCUCAACCUCGGAACUGCACUGAAUACUGCCUUGCUAGAGCACUGGAGAGGGAACUGGAAUUUACGGUGUAGCAGUGAAAUGCGUAGAUAUCGUAAGGAAGACCAGUGGCGAAGGCGAGUUCCUGGACAGUUGCUGACACUA
RNAcentral lists this ribosomal RNA (227 nucleotides) under uncultured bacterium. Its description in RNAcentral is "partial 16S ribosomal RNA". It matches the Rfam family "Bacterial small subunit ribosomal RNA", at positions 524 to 748 of the family's 1533-position model. The record is from RNAcentral.